This 655-nucleotide long non-coding RNA is filed under the name Gadus morhua (Atlantic cod). RNAcentral describes it as "lncRNA (ENSGMOG00000029115.1)". The record is from RNAcentral. Lineage: Eukaryota; Metazoa; Chordata; Actinopteri; Gadiformes; Gadidae.
GUAGUAGUAGUUAUACCACUUGUAGUACUAGCUAUACCAGUAAUGGUACUAGUUAACACUAGUACUUGAUAACAGUAAUAGUACUAGUUAACAGUAGUAGUAGACGUUAUACCAGUAGUAGUACUAGUUAACAGUAGUAGUACUAGUUAUAAUAAAGUGAGGCUGUCCUUUCCUUUCCAGAUGAUGAUGACUCCAAGAGUCUGGAUAGCAUAAUGGGAACCGGAGCCCAUGCAGGCAGCAGCCCGUCCCGGGGCCCGGGACACAGCGCGUUCCCCGGGGCCGGAGCCCAGAGGCCCUCGGACCACGUUGUGUUUCCCAGCGGUUCAUCCCUGCUGCUGGAGGCCAGCGACAACAACAACGCCCGAUCACAAGGUACCGGAAAGCCUCCCGUACAUACAUACAGUAUAUAUAUAUAUUAGAGCUGUCAAGCGAUUAAAAUAUUUAAUCGUGAUUAAUCGCAUUAAUGUCAUAGUUAACUCUAAUUAAUCGCGAUUAAUCAUAAAUUAUUUUUCUAUGCUAAAUAUCCCUUGAUUUUUUUGUCCCAUAAUUCUUCUCAUUUUAAUUCUCUUAUCAACAUGGUGAAGUGAAUCGGCUUGCCUUGUGCAAAUGAUUUUUUAUUGAUAACAACAUUGGCAUAUACACUGAUCAAAACAGG